Molecule: small nuclear RNA, 169 nt
Filed under: Trachymyrmex septentrionalis
Lineage: Eukaryota; Metazoa; Arthropoda; Insecta; Hymenoptera; Formicidae
Description: U2 spliceosomal RNA
Rfam family: U2 spliceosomal RNA
About the family: U2 is a small nuclear RNA (snRNA) component of the spliceosome (involved in pre-mRNA splicing).
Source: Rfam by way of RNAcentral
AAAGUUUUUUGCUAAAUAAAAGUGAGUUAAUCUGUUCUUAUCAGCUUAAUAUCUGAUACAGUCCCCAUAGGGGGCUCAAUAUAUUAAUCUAUUUUUUACCAGGCGGAUGCUCGGAGCUUGCUCCGACCUUGCCACGGGUCGACCCUGCAUUGCAGCAGGCCCAGCAAGU